RNAcentral lists this long non-coding RNA (576 nucleotides) under Mytilus galloprovincialis (Mediterranean mussel). Lineage: Eukaryota; Metazoa; Mollusca; Bivalvia; Mytilida; Mytilidae. The record is from RNAcentral.
UUAAAAUAAAUCAUUCCUUAAAGUCCAAUUUUUAAUUAAAGAAAAAUAGAAAAUUUGGAGACAUUUUGUUGUAGGAUUCCAUUUCUAGUUUCUAGAUUCUAAAUCAAAUAAACAUUGAGUUUUUGUCUACAAACUGAUUAACUGAAUUAUAAACAUAACAUAUAUGAGUGCCUUUACACAACAUUCAUUCUGAGAUGAAUAUUGUUUAUCUUAUUUUUUGUUUGUGUGUUUCAUUAUGUAGCUUAUUUAUUUUCAAACACUCUAUUUUUAAAUUUCACCUCACAUGCUAUUUUUUGUCUUUUCAAGAAACCUAAAUCAAAUAUGCCAUUGCAAAUGUUCUUUUAUUGUAUGUUUAUCAUAUUAUGAUGGUGGAAUCUGUCAUUUCAAAAGGUCAUAAGUAAGAAUGGGUACAAAAGGACAACACUUCUGGAUGGCCACUUUACCCUCAAUACAUAUAUUGAGACAUUUUGUAAGACUUGCACAUACAAUACACUGAAAAAGUGUUAAGCUUUUAUAGUCAAAAUCUUUACGAAGAGUUGGUUUGAAUUGAAUGGGUGAUUUAUGUAAAAUGCAAAC